This is a long non-coding RNA of Alnus glutinosa, 497 nucleotides long. RefSeq lists it as uncharacterized. NCBI's taxonomy places the organism in Eukaryota, Viridiplantae, Streptophyta, Magnoliopsida, Fagales, Betulaceae. The record is from RefSeq and is a predicted model, not a curated record. The transcript is spliced from 4 exons.
GCUAAGAUGCACCAAUUCCCAUCCAUUGGAUCAAAAUGUGUCUACUUGAUCCUAACCAUUCAUUCUUCUAUAAAUAAGCAUGCAAGGCUCCUUGUUUUCCACACAAAUCCUAGACAACUUUCUUGAAAGCUUUGUGCUUUGGUUUUCUCUCCCUUUUUCUCUCCUUCUACCACACAACCACUUUGGUGUCCUUGAAGUCAUUUUUUCUCUCCAAAUCAAAUUGAAAAGGAGCUAAGAAAUUACACGAAGGAGGGUGUGAGGCAAAGGGCGUAAACGGGUUCGGAUAACCUAGAACGAGAGGUCUGAAGAAAGAUGAUCAUAAAAUACCAAACUAAAUGUUACUGAUGCAGAUCUGAAGAAUGAAGGCAUGGACCCAUAUGCCAGUUUUGAUGGUUUUUGAAACCAUUUUUGAAGUAAUAUGUGCUAGCUUAGAAAUUGCUAGGCAUAUUUAUGUGUGUUUUAUUUCAAGGCUUGUAAUAAUUAUGACGAUGUUUUGU